GACGAACCGUGCGAACGUUGUUCGGAUUCAUUGGGCUUAAAGGGCGCGUAGGCGGCCGCUUAAGUCGGGGGUGAAAUCUUUCAGCUCAACUGGAAAAUAGCCUCCGAUACUGGGCGGCUGGAGGGAGAUAGGGGUGCGCGGAACUUCCGGUGGAGCGGUGAAAUGCGUAGAUAUCGGAAGGAACGCCGGUGGCGAAAGCGGCGCACUGGAUCUCAUCUGACGCUGAGGCGCGAAAGCCAGGGGAGCAAACGGG
This 253-nucleotide ribosomal RNA is filed under the name uncultured bacterium. RNAcentral describes it as "partial 16S ribosomal RNA". It matches the Rfam family "Bacterial small subunit ribosomal RNA", at positions 524 to 776 of the family's 1533-position model. The record is from RNAcentral.